GGAAGUAAAGUCGUAACAAGGUUUCCGUAGGUGAACCUGCGGAAGGAUCAUUAUCGAAAUACUUAUUUAGCGUUCCGUGCUAUCCCAUUGUUUUAUUUACCCUGUUGCUUCCACUGGAUGAGUUUCCAUACCUUGUGUUUGAGAAACUUUGGCUUGUGUAAGAUUCAUUCACGGCCAGCCAGUGAGAAGACCAUUUACAAAACCCUGUUAAGAACCAAUUGUCUGAAUAUUUUACUCCAAUGAAAUAAAACUUUCAACAACGGAUCUCUAGGCUCUU
Molecule: unclassified non-coding RNA, 277 nt
Filed under: plant metagenome
Description: partial contains small subunit ribosomal RNA and internal transcribed spacer 1
Rfam family: Eukaryotic small subunit ribosomal RNA (bases 1-53)
Source: RNAcentral